RNAcentral lists this ribosomal RNA (244 nucleotides) under uncultured bacterium. RNAcentral describes it as "partial 16S ribosomal RNA". It matches the Rfam family "Bacterial small subunit ribosomal RNA", at positions 15 to 254 of the family's 1533-position model. The record is from RNAcentral.
GAUCAUAGCUCAGGACGAACGCUGGCGGCGCGCCUAACACAUGCAAGUCGAACGAGAGAGAAGGAGCUUGCUUCUUCGAUCGAGUGGCGAACGGGUGAGUAACGCGUGAGGAACCUGCCUCAAAGAGGGGGACAACAGUUGGAAACGACUGCUAAUACCGCAUAAGCCCACGGGUCGGCAUCGACCUGAGGGAAAAGGAGCAAUCCGCUUUGAGAUGGCCUCGCGUCCGAUUAGCUAGUUGGUG